AAUCAACGCUGGCGGCGUGCCUCAGACAUGCAAGUCGAACGAUUAAAGCUCUCUUCGGAGAGUGUAUAGAGUGGCGCACGGGUGAGUAACACGUAAGUAAUCUACCCUCGAGUGGGGAAUAACAACCGGAAACGGUUGCUAAUACCGCAUAAUGCAGCGGCACCGCAAGGUGACAGUUGUUAAAGAUUUAUCGCUUGAGGAGGAGCUUGCGGCAGAUUAGCUAGUUGGUAGGGUAACGGCUUACCAAGGCUACGAUCUGUAACCGGUCUAAGAGGACGGUCGGUCACACUGACACUGAAUAACGGGUCAGACUCCUACGGGAGGCAGCAGUCGGGAAUUUUGGGCAAUGGGCGAAAGCCUGACCCAGCAACGCCGCGUGAAGGAUGAAGUAUUUCGGUAUGUAAACUUCGAAGGAAUAGGAAGAAUUAAUGACGGUACUAUUUAUAAGGUCCGGCUAACUACGUGCCAGCAG
RNAcentral lists this ribosomal RNA (472 nucleotides) under uncultured bacterium. RNAcentral's name for it is "bacterial SSU rRNA". It matches the Rfam family "Bacterial small subunit ribosomal RNA", at positions 32 to 514 of the family's 1533-position model. The record is from RNAcentral.